This is a long non-coding RNA of Chionomys nivalis (European snow vole), 4804 nucleotides long. RefSeq lists it as uncharacterized. NCBI's taxonomy places the organism in Eukaryota, Metazoa, Chordata, Mammalia, Rodentia, Cricetidae. The record is from RefSeq and is a predicted model, not a curated record. The transcript is spliced from 4 exons.
CAACCGCAGCAGCACCCAGCUCCAUCCUCACCCGCCUGGCCCGCGCCGCAGCUGGCGGGAACCUAGCGAUUCGGGCUGAGGAGGACAAGCGGAAGACACAGUGAAGGUGUCCCAGCCCCACCCCACCCCACGCCAUUGGCCGAAGCGCAAGAAGCAAAGAGUGGGCUAGACGCGCUGUUGCUGUUGCGCCGAGGGAACGAAGAAGGGAACAAGAGAGCGUGAUGGAGCGAUGCAGGCAGGUGUAGGACUGAACCCCCCCAAGUCCGCCGAGAGGACUUUGUCAGGGCCUGGGGCGGCUAGGGUGGCUUCAAGUGAUCGGAGGGCUCGGACCACUGCAGAUGCGGCGCGUGUGGGCGCGGCGAAAGCGCCCCCUUCUCCCAGGAUCUAAACGGAUAAACGGAAGCGCGUGUAAGUGUGGGGGUGCGAAUCGCCACCUCCGGCCUUGGCUUUCCCGCUUUUGCGAGCACCCCCACUUCUCACUUUCCCCAAAUCCGCAUUUUCCUUGGCACAGCCCUCCCGAACACCGAGGAGAGGGAGGUGCCGGGGGCAGUGAGAGUGACGUGUGUUGGUGCAGAGGGGGUGGAGGGCUGCGGGCCGGGCUCUGUGGACCGACUCCUAAUCCUCUUGUUUUCGGAACCGUCAGCAGAUGUGGCUUCUCUUAGCUGAAUAAUCCGUUAAGGGAAUGAUAAUUUUUAAAAAGGACCGCGGCCUCACCCCGCGAGGACAGUGAAGGAGAUCAGAGCUUGAUCUGCCUUUGGUUUGGACUGGCUGAAACACUGCGGACUGCAACCAAUGUCUUUUAAAGGAGAACAAAAAGAUGAGGCUCUUGUGCGGACUCGGGACAAAGCGUCUUGGGCUCGGUGACAAGGGACGCGCGGAACUCUGGCUCCCCGAUUGGAGAGAUCAACACAGCCCAAGGGCACCCCGCAGGGCUUGCGGACCUCUGAGGCGAGAGGACCGCAGCAGGAGAGUUCCGGAAGGCUGAUUCCCGUAGAUCCUGGUAGCGGCUGCUGCAGCUCAACCCUGCGGCACGCCCGGCCAGGCUGCACCAGGACUCUACACUCGAGGAAAAAGCUUGGAAACGAAAGGAUGCGGGAGAACAAAGAGCCUUUGGAGGACGUGGCUGUUAUCUCAUUGUCUGUGACUGGGGGAGCUGCGGUAGGAAGGAUGCGGUGGUCCUUAGCUCAUCGCUUUCCCCCACCCCACACCCUCCCCACUGUCAGUGCGCCCGCCACGCGCCGCCAGCUUUUUCUUUCUCAUUCCUCAUUUUCUCAUUCCACCUUCUUCCAUCCCCUCCCUUUCUUUCACCUUUCCUUCUUCCCUCCCUCCCUCCCGAGACCCCCCUUUCUCCCUUCUAUCCUCUCUCUUCCUCCUUCCCUCCCUCCCUUCUCUUUCCUUUCUCCCUUCCUUCCUUCCUUCCUUCCUUCCUUCCUUCCUUCCUUCCUUCCUUCCUUCCUCAGGAGAAAGGCCUCUCUCUCCGUGUUCACAGCGGACCUUGAUUUAAAUGUCCAUACAAUUAAGGCACGCGGUGAAUGCCAAGAAUGGGGCUGUCUGAGCACCUUGGGUCCUCGAGGGCCUGCCACAGAAGGAUCGACCCAGCCCAACGCUCUGGGCAGAACUCAGCGCUGCAGCUGCAGGCGCCACAGGAGGGGCAACGGGCUGCUGAAAGCCUCGUACCGCAGCCUUUUAGGGUGGGGAUGUGUGCGGCUACCGACAAAGAGGGGCUUGUGCAGAUGCAAACAGAAUCUAGGAAAGAAACAACCCAUUCUGUGACGGAAAACACGGAUCGGUGCAAGCGGGUGGGAGUGGGAGAUGGUCUGGGAGCUGUUGGAGAGUGAAGAGUGCGCGUUAGCUUCUGGGACCCUGCCCAUUGUACAAGGUCAACAAGUUCCUCCGUAACUGUUUUUGUCCUGGGCUUUCAAUUUGCCCUUAGACAAAUACUAAUAAUCUGGUACCCAUGCGACUGGCAGACUGCCUCAGAGCCUGGACUGCAGCUACAUUGUGCUUUGCUUGGGGUUGGUAGGGUAUUCUUUGCGGGAAGCUGUUUGUCACACUUUGGUGGAGAGCUGUGAGCAUUUGACAAGCUUAAGCAGAUCUCCGGGAUGAAGGCAACCAGCAAAUUUGCUCAUGAACAGCGCACAGACUCCAUCAAAGCUGACAGCUAGCCCACGACUCCAAGGAGGGCCCCCCAGCCUUCUCAGGGCUCUGACUGAAGUUUCAGGCAGAGAUCCAGAGCUGCAGGAGAGGUGCAGUACCCCCAAAGGGCAGGCUACUCUGUUUGCUCUUAAAACCAGGACAGAAGGAAAAACAGCAUGUGCGCAGGUGGGGGGGGGGGGAGUCUGUUUUGAAGCUGGCGGUCCAGGAACAGAAAGGGUUAAGCCACCCUCAUCCCGAAGCACCUGCUUCCCAAAUCAGCCCCCAGCAGCAGCUGGUCCUGGAGACCCCCGACCCAGUUCCAUCUCCAUCUCAGUGUUCACCGCCAACCUGCAGUGGAUGGAUGGUGGCCUGGUGACCGACCUAACCUCAUUAAUUUCCAGGUGGAGAAGAUGGAGGAGGGGCAGGUCCCAGGCUCCCGCAGAGGGAGGGAAAGGAGGCCAAGGGCUGGCCUUCCCACCCAGGAAGCAGGCUGUAGCCCUUCCCCCUGCUGUCAUGCCAGAGGCCUGCCUUUGCAAGGCCAAGCCCAUAAAGGAUGUUUAGGAGUUUAAUCUGAUUCCUAACACAGUGAUCAGGAUCUAAAAGAGCAUCCAUUGAAGUUAAUGGAAGACUCUUUUCUCCAAAGCCCCUGCCUCCUCUAGUUUCGUAAAUUAGUAUUGGAGAGUAUCAUGGGUCAGCACCUCUCCGGUCUAGUUUCCUCAGGAGUACAUACUAUUUCUUGAGUAUAUACUCUGCGUCCGUCUUUGUGAUAACCUCAUCUUAACGGCUAAACUUCGUCACAGAAGGGAGUGUUAGAGUUAGCUGGGCUGAGGUUAAAUGCGCCACCCUCCACAUAGGCUUUCCCAGAACCUUCUCUGCUCUGCAGAAAUGAGCCACAGCCUGCUCACUCUUGCAGGAGGAUAGCUGCAGUGUACACAUCAUGGGGACUGACUGCAGGGGCUUCGCCGACUGAAUCCUCUAGAGAAAGCUGGGCUGUGAGGAAGGGAAAGCCUUAGCAAUGGCUGUCCUGAGAGAGGCCAUAGCCAUUGCCUUCAAAAUCUACCUCCCUUGAAAUGAGAUUUGACCCUGUCCUGGGACACCCCCGCCCUUUAUGGAUAUGUUGGAAGAGAGCAGCCAGCAUACUGUACCAUUUUGGGGGUGUACCCGUUCCUUUCCCCCUGCAUGCCCGAUGAGAUGUUAUUUUGCCUUCAAGCCUUGGCUUAAGCUGCUGAUGGCCCAACCCCCUGUACCGCAAAUGUCCCCAUUAGCAAUCCUCUGCUCAGUAAUUGCUUCCCCAUGAUUCCUUCAAAUGUCCCCUCGUCCUUCACUGAUACUUCAUCUUACAUAACCUCCAUAUGCCUCUCCAAGUAAGGUCCUUUUAGGUAGAAUCCCAAUGUGCUUUUUCUCUGAGAGCUCCAACCGCAGGCACAGGCACCUUCUUCUGUAAGGCCUGCCCGCGAUCUGCUCCAUAGGAUCUAUGCUAGGAGGGGUGUGUUUUUAAUUCAUUGCUUACGGAAACUCUCGUUCCAGAAAGCAUUAGUGUGCGGGAGUGUUCUGGACUGGCCACUCUGUGGAGUAGUGUGGGUAUGUGUCCACUAGGUCUCCUUCACAGGAAGGGUUUGUGGCGGGGGGUGGGGAGGAACUCUCGUGACAUUUUCAGCCCAGGUAUAAUUGCAAGCCCCCUUUUGUUUGCAACACGUGAAGAAUCAGAACCAAGGUCAGCCUGAGCUGCCUCCUACGUUUUCUGUCCUUUUAUGCCCAUCAGUAAUUACACAGAGAACCUGAAGCUUUUUGCGCUCUCAGGGCAUCUCUGAGUGCUCAAGACCACCUCCCCGCCUAUGUGAGCCUUCUCGUUACUUAUUAUGGCUAAAAGUGAGGAGAGAAAUCCGUGAUCUGACGGUAGGAUGAGGCUGGCAGUGUGAUGACUGAGCACACUUUCCUCGUCCCUUGGGUUUGUUCACACCCACUGUGGUCUUCAUCCCCAUGGGGUACAAGCUCUUGUGUGUCUGGAGGAGCCCAGUACUUGGAAUAGAUUUAGGAAUGUAUCAAAAAGGACUCAUGAUUAACAAUGUUUCUCUCCCCUGCCAGAGACAGCCCAGAUCUGUCUCAGUGGAAAAGAAUUGGUUCUUUAACAGAUGCGGUGAUAAAUUCUAUAAAUUUCUCCUGUGUGUGUCUUGUGGGGGGGUACACCAGAAACUUUUUAUCAGAUCAUUGACGUGUGGGGAGGGACAUGUCCCCAGUUAGCACAUCUCCAUGCACACGUAUGAAGUCAUAGACUUUCUCACACAACCAUAUCCAUCGCUAACAUGGAGGCACUUGACCGCAAAAGAAAGUGCGCCUAUCCACACGACCUGUACAAGGAAAUUUUCUCCCCUGCUAUUGAACUUACAUAACACCCACCCCCAUUCCAACCUAGAGUACCUUCUGGGGGCAGCUGCAGAAAUCCUGCCUGGGACAGAUGGAGCCUCUCCUUCCUCAGCUACUCUGUGGGUGGUUUUUGAGCCCAUGAGUCAACAUGGGCAGACUGUAGUGUGUGCUGGUGCUGUGUGUGUGUGUGUGUGUGUGUGUGUGUGUGUGUAUUUGAGGCUUGGCGGUCUGAUUCACACUGAUGAGGAUAUUAACAGCAAUGCUGAGAAUUAUGAUAACUAAUAAAGAUUUUUUUUUCCUUCAA